AAGUCUACUUGAAUUUGGGUUUUUUAACUUCGAUUUGGGUGGCGGACGGGUGAGUAACGCGUAAAGAACUUGCCUCACAGCUAGGGACAACAUUUGGAAACGAAUGCUAAUACCUGAUAUUAUGAUUAUAGGGCAUCCUAGAAUUAUGAAAGCUAUAUGCGCUGUGAGAGAGCUUUGCGUCCCAUUAGCUAGUUGGAGAGGUAACAGCUCACCAAGGCGAUGAUGGGUAGCCGGCCUGAGAGGGUGAACGGCCACAAGGGGACUGAGACACGGCCCUUACUCCUACGGGAGGCAGCAGUGGGGAAUAUUGGACAAUGGACCGAGAGUCUGAUCCAGCAAUUCUGUGUGCACGAUGACGUUUUUCGGAAUGUAAAGUGCUUUCAGUUGGGAAGAAAAAAAUGACGGUACCAACAGAAGAAGUGACGGCUAAAUACAUGCCAGCAGCCGCGGUAAUACGUAUGUCACGAGCGUUAUCCGGAUUUAUUGGGCGUAAAGCGCGUCUAGGUGGUUAUGUAAGUCUGAUGUGAAAAUGCAGGGCUCAACUCUGUAUUGCGUUGGAAACUGUGUAACUAGAGUACUGGAGAGGUAAGCGGAACUACAAGUGUAGAGGUGAAAUUCGUAGAUAUUUGUAGGAAUGCCGAUGGGGAAGCCAGCUUACUGGACAGAUACUGACGCUGAAGCGCGAAAGCGUG
RNAcentral lists this ribosomal RNA (692 nucleotides) under uncultured Fusobacterium sp. Its description in RNAcentral is "bacterial SSU rRNA". It matches the Rfam family "Bacterial small subunit ribosomal RNA", at positions 59 to 763 of the family's 1533-position model. The record is from RNAcentral. Lineage: Bacteria; Fusobacteriati; Fusobacteriota; Fusobacteriia; Fusobacteriales; Fusobacteriaceae.